RNAcentral lists this long non-coding RNA (215 nucleotides) under Lathyrus oleraceus (garden pea). Its description in RNAcentral is "Pisum sativum (pea) long non-coding RNA (PSAT_LNC033679)". Lineage: Eukaryota; Viridiplantae; Streptophyta; Magnoliopsida; Fabales; Fabaceae. The record is from RNAcentral.
AGAGAGUGGCCAUUGGAACCACAAAAAGAAAUUUUAAUGGGUUAUAUUUACCAAUUAGAAGUAUAUGCAAAAUGGUCAAAGUGGACUUAAAGAUUCAAUUCAAAAUAAGUAUUGUGAAAAGGAAAGUCUGAAAGUCAAAAGCAUAAGGCUUAGGUUUCUAAUGUUUGAAAACAAUAGUUAAAUGUUUGCACAAAAGGUUUUGGCUUGGGUUAGAG